Sinocyclocheilus rhinocerous is the source of this 88-nucleotide long non-coding RNA. RefSeq lists it as uncharacterized. Lineage: Eukaryota; Metazoa; Chordata; Actinopteri; Cypriniformes; Cyprinidae. The transcript is spliced from 3 exons. The record is from RefSeq and is a predicted model, not a curated record.
CAUUUCAGACACCGUCAAUUCUGUAACCAGGCAUAGUGAAGCACUACUCGUUUCAUAGCUCAGACAAGUGAACUUGACCAAAAUCGUG